AUCUAAGAUUGAAGAUAUGUAAUUUUAAAUUAAGAGAAAAAUGGAAGAGAAAAAUUUAAGGAAGAAGAAGAGCUCAUUUGAUGAGCUUUAUAAUCUUCAGUUUCAGCGUAAGCUAAUAAAAAAAAAAACUGAAGUAUGACACAUGGCGUUUUGUGAUUGGGUUGUUUUGGUAAGUGGUGAUCGGUCUUUUUCGGCUGGCUAAUCUUGUUUUUUUCUACACCGCCUUUGUGUUAGUCGAAAAUCAGGAAUCACGUGAGGUAAGGUUCACGGAUU
Molecule: long non-coding RNA, 273 nt
Filed under: Brassica napus (rape)
Lineage: Eukaryota; Viridiplantae; Streptophyta; Magnoliopsida; Brassicales; Brassicaceae
Description: long non-coding RNA (BNAP_LNC007844)
Source: RNAcentral